This 300-nucleotide ribosomal RNA is filed under the name uncultured Paracoccaceae bacterium. Its description in RNAcentral is "bacterial SSU rRNA". It matches the Rfam family "Bacterial small subunit ribosomal RNA", at positions 114 to 432 of the family's 1533-position model. The record is from RNAcentral. Lineage: Bacteria; Pseudomonadati; Pseudomonadota; Alphaproteobacteria; Rhodobacterales; Paracoccaceae.
CGCGUGGGAACGUGCCCUUCUCUAAGGAAUAGCCUCUGGAAACGGAGAGUAAUACCUUAUACGCCCUUUGGGGAAGGAUUAUCGAGAAGGAUCGGCCCGCGUUAGAUUAGAUAGUUGGUGGGGUAAGUGGCCUACCAAGUCUACGAUCUAUAGCUGGUUUGUAGAGGAUGAUCAGCAACACUGGGACUGAGACACGGCCCAGACUUCUACGGAAGGCAGCAGUGGGGAAUCUUGGACAAUGGGCGCAAGCCUGAUCCAGCCAUGCCGCGUGAGUGAUGAAGGCCUUAGGGUCGUAAAGCU